RNAcentral lists this long non-coding RNA (439 nucleotides) under Solanum tuberosum (potato). RNAcentral describes it as "long non-coding RNA (STUB_LNC002892)". The record is from RNAcentral. Lineage: Eukaryota; Viridiplantae; Streptophyta; Magnoliopsida; Solanales; Solanaceae.
GAGCUGUCGCCGCCUCCUUCCCCUCUCUCUUCAUUCUCUCCUUCUCCUUUAAGUUUAGGGUUUAAUUUAUUUUUAAAAAAAACAAUUUUGUUAUUAGUUUAAUUGUAAUUAGUUUAUUUGAUUUUGUUAGUUAUUUAAUUGUAAUUAGUUUAUUGAUUUUGUUGUGUAUUGAUUGUUAGUUUGAAUAAGGGAUUAUUAGUUAGUGAGUGAAGUGAAAUUUUUUAAUGUUAGGGUUAGUUUGAAUUAGGGUAUCCUAGCUAGGAUUUGUUUGAAUUUGGGUAUUUCUUGAGUUAAUAAGUUUGAUUUUGAGAUUUUAUGACUAGUUUGAAUUAGGGCAUUUAAGGAGUUGUUUGAAUUUGGAUAUUAUUUGAGUUAGUUUGAUUUUCGAAUUUUAGGACUUGCUAUUUUGAAUUUGGGAUUUUAGGGCUAGUUUGAAUGA